GAUGAACGCUGGCGGCGUGCCUAAUACAUGCAAGUCGAGCGAACAGACGAGGAGCUUGCUCCUUUGACGUUAGCGGCGGACGGGUGAGUAACACGUGGAUAACCUACCUAUAAGACUGGGAUAACUUCGGGAAACCGGAGCUAAUACCGGAGAAUAUAUUGAACCGCAUGGUUCAAUAGUGAAAGACGGUUUUGCUGUCUCUUAUAGAUGGAUCCGCGUCGCAUUAGCUAGUUGGUAAGGUAACGGCUUACCAAGGCAACGAUGCGUAGCCGACCUGAGAGGGUGAUCGGCCACACUGGAACUGAGACACGGUCCAGACUCCUACGGGAGGCAGCAGUAGGGAAUCUUCCGCAAUGGGCGAAAGCCUGACGGAGCAACGCCGCGUGAGUGAUGAAGGUCUUCGGAUCGUAAAGCUCUGUUAUUGGGGAAGAACAAAUGUGUAAGUAACUAUGCACGUCUUGACGGUACCUAAACAGAAAGCCACGGCUAACUACGUG
Molecule: ribosomal RNA, 497 nt
Filed under: uncultured bacterium
Lineage: Bacteria
Description: partial 16S ribosomal RNA
Rfam family: Bacterial small subunit ribosomal RNA
Source: RNAcentral